UUUUAGUAGCUUAGCACUAAAUGAAACUAGAUACAAGCGAGCGCGGACGGGUGAGUACACGUGGGUAACCUGCCCAAGAGACUGGGAUAACACCUGGAAACAGAUGCUAAUACCGGAGUAACAACACUAGACGCUAUGUCUAGAGUUUUGAAAGAUGGUUCUGCUAUCACUCUUGGAUGGACCUGCGUGCAUUAGCUAGUUGGUAAGGUAACGGCUUACCAAGGCAAUGAUGCAUAGCCGAGUUGAGAGACUGAUCGGCCACAUUGGGGCCUAGAGACGACGGCCCAAACUCCUACGGGAGGCAGCAGUAGGGAAUCUUCCACAAUGGACGAAAGUCUGAUGGAGCAACGCCGCGUGUAGUGAAGAAGGGGUUUCGGCUCGUUAAAGCUCUGUUGGUAGUGAAGAAAGAUAGAGGUAGUAACUGGCCUUUAUUUGACGGUAAUUACUUAGAAAGUCACGGCUAACUACGUGCCAGCAGCCGCGGUAA
Molecule: ribosomal RNA, 487 nt
Filed under: uncultured bacterium
Lineage: Bacteria
Description: bacterial SSU rRNA
Rfam family: Bacterial small subunit ribosomal RNA
Source: RNAcentral